This 253-nucleotide ribosomal RNA is filed under the name uncultured bacterium. Its description in RNAcentral is "partial 16S ribosomal RNA". It matches the Rfam family "Bacterial small subunit ribosomal RNA", at positions 524 to 776 of the family's 1533-position model. The record is from RNAcentral.
UACGUAGGGCGCAAGCGUUGUCCGGAAUUAUUGGGCGUAAAGAGCUCGUAGGCGGUUUGUCGCGUCUGCUGUGAAAACCUAAGGCUCAACCUUGGGCUUGCAGUGGGUACGGGCAGACUAGAGUGCGGUAGGGGUGACUGGAAUUCUUGGUGUAGCGGUGGAAUGCGCAGAUAUCAGGAGGAACACCGAUGGCGAAGGCAGGUCACUGGGCCGCAACUGACGCUGAGGAGCGAAAGCAUGGGGAGCGAACAGG